ACGGGGUGCAGCAGGCGCGAAACCUUUGCAAUGUGCGCAAGCACGACAAGGUUAAUCCGAGUGUUUCCUGCUAAAGGAAUCUUUUGUUAGUCGUAAAACCACUGAUGAAUAAGGGGUGGGCAAGUUCUGGUGUCAGCCGCCGCGGUAAAACCAGCACCUCAAGUGGUCAGGAGGAUUAUUGGGCCUAAAGCAUCCGUAGCCGGCUCUGCAAGUUUUCGGUUAAAUCCAUUUGCUUAACAAAUGGGCUGCCGAAGAUACUACAUAGCUAGGGAGUGGGAGAGGUAGACGGUAUUCGGUAGGAAGGGGUAAAAUCCUUUGAUCUAUUGAGGACCACCUAUGGCGAAGGCAGUCUACCAGAACACGUUCGACGGUGAGGGAUGAAAGCUGGGGGAGCAAACCGGAUUAGAUACCCGGGUAGUCCCAGCUGUAAACGAUGCAGACUCGGUGAUGCACUGGCUUGUGGCCAGUGCAGUGCCGCAGGGAAGCCGUUAAGUUUGCCGCCUGGGAAGUACGUACGCAAGUAUGAAACUUAAAGGAAUUGGCGGGGGAGCAC
RNAcentral lists this ribosomal RNA (553 nucleotides) under uncultured Nitrososphaerota archaeon. RNAcentral's name for it is "bacterial SSU rRNA". It matches the Rfam family "Archaeal small subunit ribosomal RNA", at positions 325 to 879 of the family's 1478-position model. The record is from RNAcentral. Lineage: Archaea; Thermoproteati; Nitrososphaerota.